RNAcentral lists this long non-coding RNA (472 nucleotides) under Linum usitatissimum (flax). RNAcentral's name for it is "long non-coding RNA (LUSI_LNC001666)". The record is from RNAcentral. Lineage: Eukaryota; Viridiplantae; Streptophyta; Magnoliopsida; Malpighiales; Linaceae.
UUAUCAUCAUAAGAAUCAGCAGCAGCAGCAGCAGCAGCGGCGGCAACAUAGCUCCUAAAACAACCUUUAAGAGUACCAGAGUCCUUUGACAGCAUCAUCAAGCACAAAGCAACCUCUUCCUGCUCUUGCUCCAAAUCAGAAGCUAUGGAAGACGACAAAGACCCACCAGAGCCAUUCCCAUAGAGACCAAUGUUCUUGUACCUCACCAUUCUCUUGGAUCUCCUCCUCUUCUUACUUGGAGUUGAUGUCUCAGUAUCAGACAGACGAUCAUCAUCAUCAUCCAUCAACAAAUCCUCCUCUUCAUCUGAAUCAUAGCUGGAGUAGUUCCUGGAAUGACAAGCCAUAUGACCACAUAAAGCCUUGAGGGACUGAAACCCUUUACCACACUCUUUGCAAACCUUGAGCAAACCAUGGUGGUUGUUCUUGUUUGGAUCGACAUCAAACUUCUUGGUUUUCUUCGGAUUCUCCCUCA